AAGACGCUUGCGGGAGAGACUGGCCGAGAAGGUCGGCGCCGAAGGAGCAACCGCCCCGGAAACUCUCAGGCAAAAGGACCGUUUGCGUCGC
This 91-nucleotide non-coding RNA is filed under the name Fulvimarina manganoxydans. RNAcentral describes it as "Glycine sequence". It matches the Rfam family "Glycine riboswitch aptamer". From Rfam's summary of the family: This family represents the bacterial glycine riboswitch. Lineage: Bacteria; Pseudomonadati; Pseudomonadota; Alphaproteobacteria; Hyphomicrobiales; Aurantimonadaceae. The record is from Rfam by way of RNAcentral.